Molecule: non-coding RNA, 216 nt
Organism: Vicia faba (fava bean)
Lineage: Eukaryota; Viridiplantae; Streptophyta; Magnoliopsida; Fabales; Fabaceae
Source: the annotation of a GenBank genome assembly
AUGGCGUCGAAGGAUUCAACACCACCGUAUCAAAGUGCUGCGAGAAUCUCCGAUUCCCAAUGUUUUCCUCAAUACACCGCCUCUCUCAAAUGUUUAGAAGAAUUUAAUACAGAUAAGAGUAAAUGUCAAGAACAUUUUGAUGUUUACAAGGAGUGUAAGAAAAAGGAGAGGGAGGCAAGAUUGGAACGUAAUAAAAGUCGGUCCUUAUUCUCAUGA